This is a long non-coding RNA of Lingula anatina, 794 nucleotides long. RefSeq lists it as uncharacterized. The record is from RefSeq and is a predicted model, not a curated record. Lineage: Eukaryota; Metazoa; Brachiopoda; Lingulata; Lingulida; Lingulidae.
GUAGGACCAUGCAAGGUCAGUCGACGACGGAGAAUAAGGAAUCCCCAUUGCACACUGCUCCAAUUUCCACGAGAAAGCCGACAAAAGGGCACUGAAAACGACAACAAUCUGCUAAGAAAUAAAGAAGUAAAUGGCUUAUUCCAGCUGCUCAAACGUCUGAAUGCAGACAGGUCUUUGCUAGUGACGCUUACACGUACCUACCUGCAAAGAGACUGGAUGCAACAUCCGCCAAAGAAGAUUCGCGUUUGACAGCGCCUGGACUCUUAACUAGAUUUUCUCGUUUGCCGAAGUUUAUCUCCUUAAGCUAUUGAAGCUUCUUGUUAUUUGAAGGGUUUUUAUAUGGAAUAUGAUAUUCGUUGGUGGUUGUAAUAUUCUGCCUGAAAAUGUGACUCAAACCGAAAAGCCAAUUUAUACAUUUUUGAGCGGAUAAAUAGGUGUUAAUGGAAAUGGACUUAAUUCAUAAUAAUUGUCAAUCCCGUAAGUUACUGCGUUUAUACUCUACGAGUGUGACAUUCCCUAAGUCGUACGUAUGCGGUACUCUAUCUGCCCAUAGUGUUUUAGUAUUAUUCCCAGAACCUGAAACUUCACUUUUGGAGAUAUUAUUCAACGGAAAUAAUGCCUAUACAAACAUAACCUUGCUUGAGUGAUCAUAAAAAGACAGAAAAAUUGUUAUUGCAAAAAUAGCAUGGGAUGUUCUAAUAGAGUAGUGCAUAUUGUACGAUCCGUUUUCUGUCUGACGGUAAAAUAGUGUGGGGAAAAUCUGCAUUUAGAAACUUCACUGUCUUUAAAAUCAA